UACGGAAGGGGGCUAGCGUUGCUCGGAAUCACUGGGCGUAAAGCGCACGUAGGCGGACUCUUAAGUCGGUGGUGAAAUCCUGGAGCUCAACUCCAGAACUGCCUUCGAUACUGGGAGUCUCGAGUCCGGGAGAGGUGAGUGGAACUGCGAGUGUAGAGGUGAAAUUCGUAGAUAUUCGCAAGAACACCAGUGGCGAAGGCGGCUCACUGGCCCGGUACUGACGCUGAGGUGCGAAAGCGUGGGGAGCAAACAGG
Molecule: ribosomal RNA, 254 nt
Filed under: uncultured bacterium
Lineage: Bacteria
Description: partial 16S ribosomal RNA
Rfam family: Bacterial small subunit ribosomal RNA
Source: RNAcentral